This 569-nucleotide ribosomal RNA is filed under the name uncultured Gammaproteobacteria bacterium. RNAcentral's name for it is "bacterial SSU rRNA". It matches the Rfam family "Bacterial small subunit ribosomal RNA", at positions 812 to 1381 of the family's 1533-position model. Lineage: Bacteria; Pseudomonadati; Pseudomonadota; Gammaproteobacteria. The record is from RNAcentral.
UCGAUUUGGAGUUUGUUGCCUUGAGUGAUGGGCUCCGAAGCUAACGCGAUAAAUCGACCGCCUGGGGAGUACGGCCGCAAGGUUAAAGCUCAAAUGAAUUGACGGGGGCCCGCACAAGCGGUGGAGCAUGUGGUUUAAUUCGAUGCAACGCGAAGAACCUUACCUGGUCUUGACAUCCACAGAAUCUUGCAGAGAUGCGAGAGUGCCUUCGGGAACUGUGAGACAGGUGCUGCAUGGCUGUCGUCAGCUCGUGUUGUGAAAUGUUGGGUUAAGUCCCGCAACGAGCGCAACCCUUAUCCUUUGUUGCCAGCGGUUCGGCCGGGAACUCAAAGGAGACUGCCGUUGAUAAAGCGGAGGAAGGUGGGGACGACGUCAAGUCAUCAUGGCCCUUACGACCAGGGCUACACACGUGCUACAAUGGCGUAUACAAAGGGAGGCGACCUCGCGAGAGCAAGCGGACCUCACAAAGUACGUCUAAGUCCGGAUUGGAGUCUGCAACUCGACUCCAUGAAGUCGGAAUCGCUAGUAAUCGUGAAUCAGAAUGUCACGGUGAAUACGUUCCCGGGUCU